AGCUCCACUAGCGUAUAUUAUUGAUGUUGCAGUUGAAACGUUCGUAGUCUCCGGUAAUGCGUAACAUUGUUGUGUUCUCGAAUGAUCAUAUCAAUUGGCGCAUUGGUUACGGCAGGAGCUCUUCGGCUUCCUACCAAGUUACCUUGAGUAAAUCGGCGCGCUCAGAGCAGGAGAACGCCAUGAACGAUUAACCAUGGGAUAACUAACUAUUUUACCAUCGCACUUUUGUUCGCUCGGUCGAUGGUUGAUUUUCACGAGAACGGUUAAGGGCGUCCGGAUUGUGUAGUCAGAGGUGAAAUUCUACAACCUUCACAGGCCGAUCAACGGCGUAGGCAUUCGCCCGAAACGUUUCUG
RNAcentral lists this ribosomal RNA (354 nucleotides) under uncultured eukaryote. RNAcentral describes it as "SSU rRNA". It matches the Rfam family "Eukaryotic small subunit ribosomal RNA", at positions 587 to 972 of the family's 1831-position model. The record is from RNAcentral.